GGAUUGUGGCUCAGUGGUAGAGUGCUUGCCUAGCACUUGUGAGGCACUGGGUUCGGUUCUCAGCACCG
Molecule: transfer RNA, 68 nt
Filed under: Marmota monax (woodchuck)
Lineage: Eukaryota; Metazoa; Chordata; Mammalia; Rodentia; Sciuridae
Description: tRNA.Ala
Source: RNAcentral